UACGAAGGGGGCUAGCGUUGCUCGGAAUCACUGGGCGUAAAGCGCACGUAGGCGGGUCUUUAAGUCAGGGGUGAAAUCCCGGAGCUCAACUCCGGAACUGCCUUUGAUACUGAGGAUCUUGAGUUCGAGAGAGGUGAGUGGAACUGCGAGUGUAGAGGUGAAAUUCGUAGAUAUUCGCAAGAACACCAGUGGCGAAGGCGGCUCACUGGCUCGAUACUGACGCUGAGGUGCGAAAGCGUGGGGAGCAAAC
This 250-nucleotide ribosomal RNA is filed under the name uncultured bacterium. RNAcentral's name for it is "partial 16S ribosomal RNA". It matches the Rfam family "Bacterial small subunit ribosomal RNA", at positions 524 to 773 of the family's 1533-position model. The record is from RNAcentral.